CUCUGUGUUGGCGCCUGCUGGCCACUGAGGGAUGGGCACAUGCCACCUGCUCAUCUCUGCCCUGCGGUCCCCCCAUGGUCCCUCCGCGUGCCUGUCUCUCUGCAGUGCCCUCCUUGCCCGUGCAGCCCACCCACCCACAGGCUCACCCCUCCUGCCAGCUGCCAGAGGCCCCCUCCAGCAGGGCCUCUCUCCAUCACCUCAGCUUCACUCUCUCCCUCAGCACCCGCCCUGCCGGAGGCCCCAGCCCUCCAUGGACAGCAGGGGCCACGUGGAGCCCGGGCUGUUCACCCGCCACCCAGUGCUGGCUGCCUUCUUGGUGCCAAACCCCCUUCCCCCACCCAGAGACUGGGCAGCUGUGUCUGGUUCAUUCUUUGCACUAACCACAUUUGUCAUCUCUAGGGCAGGCCGGGGCUGCGGGCUGAGGGGGACUGCUGGCACCCCCUUCCCUCCCUUCUUGGUUCCAUUUCCAUCCGUGACAGGUACAGCGUCCCAGGACCCCGGCCUGAGGGGCUGGACCCGAGCCGUCUGUGAACGUCCCUCAGCCCCUGCCAUCCCCUCUUGGGACUAACCACUAACCUCACCCCCCAGCCUCCACGGGUGCCCCUGGCUGGCCCAGAGCCGGCAGCGUGAGCCCAAGUCCGGGCUGGAGCCGAGGCCGGAGCAGCUGGCUGGGAAUCAAGGCUGCAGUAGCGUUUCUUCAUGGGGUGCUCCAGGGGGUGCCAAAGACCGACAGGCAGCCCAAGGGCCUGGACACCCCUCCCCAGGCAGGUGCUGCCCCAGGAGGACUGUCCUCGGGAAUGAACCUCCCGCAGGCUGUGGACUGAGGUCCUGUGGCCUCGGUCUCCCUCCCGGUGAAGUGGGAGCGAGGCUUCCCUACGGUGCUUUUGGCUUUAGUGUACGAUGUUUGCUGUGCUUCCCGCCAUGGAGGGCAGAGCCACGCCACAUCAGGAUCGGUCGUGCUGCCCCUUCCGGCCCUAGCCCUGGCCCAACCAGCCCAGCCCUCGAGGCUUGAUGCCUGUGCCAAGGCCAGGGGCAGCCAGAGGGCAGCUGGAUGGCCGCGUGCAGGGGUCAAGGCCGGGCCCCGCAGGGGGACAGGCCGCUAGCCCCAGCAGUUUACAGACACGUGGCUCUUCCUCCCAGAGCAGCCGGCAGCUACCUGGACCGGAAAUGUCCUCAUCCCUUCCCUGGGGCCAGGCUCUGCCCUGCCCUUCCUCUGUGAACCCCUCCUUUCUUUGUGCUGGUAUUUGGGACCAAAAAUGGGGAUGUGGGAGGCCAGAGUGGGGAGGGGAGUCCAAGCCAGGGCGUCUGAGCUUCCCAGACGUGACCAAACCUCAGUGGAGGGGCCUCUGUUUCAGGCCCCGCGUGGCUGACAUUCUGAGCCCCCUCGGAGGCCCCACCACAGCCAACCUGCCCAGUCUUUCCUCUGGGCUUGACUCGCCAGGGGAGCUCUCCAGAGCUAGGGCCGGGAGGGAGGCCCUGGCACUCUCUGGCCUGGGUGCCCGCCAAGCGCCCUGCGACCGCUCAGAAGCACAAAUGCUGUCCAUGGCCGCGAGGCUGCCUGCCAGGUGAAUGGACAUAGCUCGAGAGGCGGUGAGGCCGGGGCUUCCAGCCUCGUGCUGUCUCGGGACUCCCGACCAUGGUGUGCGUGUGUGCCCGUCUGUGACUUUCUACUCACCGAGGUUGAAGAAAGGAAACGGGGAAAAUCAAAAGGGGUUCAAACCCCACCUCAGUAGGUGGAGGGGAGCGCCUGCCGUUGGUUGUACUUUUGUUCUGAGUUUUCAGUGCCCUGUUCCUAACUACUCCAUCCCAUGACCUCACCACACCUACUGGGGGUAUCUGGCUGGUGCCUGCUGCCGUGGCCGGGUCCCACUCUCACCCUGCACAGGGGGUCUCGCAGCUCCCAGGCCCACAGCUUCAUUGGAAGGACAGGGUGGCCCUGGGGAGAAGAGGGAGGAGCCCAUGGGCUUACCUCACCAAGGGGGCUCCUCAGCAGGCAUCCACUACCCCAGGAGCCCUCCACAUGUCAUGGCAAGCUUGGUAGUGAACGGGCCUGGUUGGGAGCAGCCCCUGGCCCAUUGCCCACCCACCCAUCUCACUAUGCAAUUUGAGUUCCAAGCACCAUUUGCUCCUGCCCUGGGGCCAGCUCUGCCCAGCCCUGGGAGGGGUGGUGAGGCAGCGCCCUGGACCCCAGAACCUCAGAUGGGGGCAGGCGGGGGACCAGGGCCCCUCCUGUGGGAUCUUUGUUUUGUGUUUAACCAUAAUGGUUGUGUACUGAACCACUUCAUAUUUGUUAUAUAUAAUAUAUAUAUAUAAUCUUAAGACUCAGCCUCCCGGUUUACUCCCCGCCCCACACACCGCCCGGGCAUCUGACCUCCCCCACCCCAGUGUGAUUUAACAUCCAGGAACUGAGGUCUGAACCAUUUUGCAUUUCCCCCUCCUCCAGCCUCCGUAGGGCCAUGGCUGUAUGUACUGUCGCUGUGUUUUUUUGUUUUUUUAGAACUGGGUUUGGGGGCUGAUUUUUAUUUCUUUGGGGGCUUUAUUUUUCUUGGCAAAUACUAAAAAUCUCGUCAAUGUAAUUUCUGUGGUUUCUAUUCAGCUUGGGUUUCAUGUUUUAAAAUAAACAAAUUUUAA
This is a long non-coding RNA of Macaca fascicularis (crab-eating macaque), 2631 nucleotides long. Lineage: Eukaryota; Metazoa; Chordata; Mammalia; Primates; Cercopithecidae. The record is from Ensembl.